UGGGGAAUAUUGGGCAAUGGACGCAAGUCUGACCCAGCGACGCCGCGUGAAGGAAGAAGGCCUUCGGGUUGUAAACUUUAGUUAUCAGGGAAGAAACAAAUGACGGUACCUGAAGAGAAAGCCACGGCUAACUACGUGCCAGCAGCCGCGGUAAUACGUAGGUGGCGAGCGUUAUCCGGAAUUACUGGGCGUAAAGGGUGUGUAGGCGGGACUGCAAGUCAGAUGUGAAAAUUACGGGCUUAACCUGUAAACUGCAUUUGAAACUGUGGUUCUUGAGAGCCGGAGGGGUAAAUGGAAUUCCCA
Molecule: ribosomal RNA, 303 nt
Filed under: uncultured bacterium
Lineage: Bacteria
Description: bacterial SSU rRNA
Rfam family: Bacterial small subunit ribosomal RNA
Source: RNAcentral